GACGAACGCUGGCGGCGUGCUUAACACAUGCAAGUCGAACGCUGAAGCUCAGCUUUUGUUGGGUGGAUGAGUGGCGAACGGGUGAGUAACACGUGAGUAACCUGCCCCCUUCUUUGGGAUAACGCCCGGAAACGGGUGCUAAUACUGGAUAUUCACUGGUCUUCGCAUGGGGGUUGGUGGAAAGGGUUUUUCUGGUGGGGGAUGGGCUCGCGGCCUAUCAGCUUGUUGGUGGGGUGAUGGCCUACCAAGGCUUUGACGGGUAGCCGGCCUGAGAGGGUGACCGGGAACAUGGGGACUGAGAUACGGCCCAGACUCCUACGGGAGGCAGCAGUGGGGAAUAUUGCACAAUGGGCGGAAGCCUGAUGCAGCGACGCCGCGUGAGGGAUGGAGGCCUUCGGGUUGUGAACCUCUUUCGCUCAUGGUCAAGCCGCAACAAUGGUUGUGGUGAGGGUAGUGGGUAAAGAAGCGCCGGCUAACUACGUG
This 483-nucleotide ribosomal RNA is filed under the name uncultured bacterium. RNAcentral describes it as "partial 16S ribosomal RNA". It matches the Rfam family "Bacterial small subunit ribosomal RNA", at positions 28 to 507 of the family's 1533-position model. The record is from RNAcentral.